RNAcentral lists this ribosomal RNA (278 nucleotides) under uncultured bacterium. Its description in RNAcentral is "partial 16S ribosomal RNA". It matches the Rfam family "Bacterial small subunit ribosomal RNA", at positions 29 to 334 of the family's 1533-position model. The record is from RNAcentral.
AACGAACGCUGGCGGCACGCCUAACACAUGCAAGUCGAGCGCUACCUUCGGGUGGAGCGGCGGACGGGUUAGUAACGCGUGGGAACGUACCCAGAUCUGCGGAAUAGCCUUUGGAAACGAAGAGUAAUACCGCAUACGCCCUUCGGGGGAAAGAUUUAUCGGAUUUGGAUCGGCCCGCGUAAGAUUAGAUAGUUGGUGGGGUAAUGGCCUACCAAGUCUACGAUCUUUAGCUGGUUUGAGAGGAUGAUCAGCAACACUGGGACUGAGACACGGCCCAG